CAGCCGCCACGGUAAUACGGAGGAUCCAAGCGUUAUCCGGAUUUAUUGGGUUUAAAGGGUGCGUAGGCGGCUUUUUAAGUCAGGGGUGAAAGACGGUAGCUUAACUAUCGCAGUGCCCUUGAUACUGAAGAGCUUGAAUAUAGUUGAGGUAGGCGGAAUGUGACAAGUAGCGGUGAAAUGCAUAGAUAUGUCACAGAACACCAAUUGCGAAGGCAGCUUACUAAGCUAUGAUUGACGCUGAGGCACGAAAGCGUGGGGAUCAAACAGGAUUAGAUACCCGCGUAGUCCCUGUCUCUUAUAC
This 301-nucleotide ribosomal RNA is filed under the name uncultured bacterium. RNAcentral's name for it is "partial 16S ribosomal RNA". It matches the Rfam family "Bacterial small subunit ribosomal RNA", at positions 509 to 807 of the family's 1533-position model. The record is from RNAcentral.